RNAcentral lists this ribosomal RNA (792 nucleotides) under Pseudomonas sp. enrichment culture. Its description in RNAcentral is "bacterial SSU rRNA". It matches the Rfam family "Bacterial small subunit ribosomal RNA", at positions 8 to 795 of the family's 1533-position model. The record is from RNAcentral. Lineage: Bacteria; Pseudomonadati; Pseudomonadota; Gammaproteobacteria; Pseudomonadales; Pseudomonadaceae.
AGAGUUUGAUUCUGGCUCAGAUUGAACGCUGGCGGCAGGCCUAACACAUGCAAGUCGAGCGGAUGAGUGGAGCUUGCUCCAUGAUUCAGCGGCGGACGGGUGAGUAAUGCCUAGGAAUCUGCCUGGUAGUGGGGGACAACGUUUCGAAAGGAACGCUAAUACCGCAUACGUCCUACGGGAGAAAGUGGGGGAUCUUCGGACCUCACGCUAUCAGAUGAGCCUAGGUCGGAUUAGCUAGUUGGUGAGGUAAAGGCUCACCAAGGCGACGAUCCGUAACUGGUCUGAGAGGAUGAUCAGUCACACUGGAACUGAGACACGGUCCAGACUCCUACGGGAGGCAGCAGUGGGGAAUAUUGGACAAUGGGCGAAAGCCUGAUCCAGCCAUGCCGCGUGUGUGAAGAAGGUCUUCGGAUUGUAAAGCACUUUAAGUUGGGGGGAAGGGCAGUAAGUUAAUACCUUGCUGUUUUGACGUUACCGACAGAAUAAGCACCGGCUAACUUCGUGCCAGCAGCCGCGGUAAUACGAAGGGUGCAAGCGUUAAUCGGAAUUACUGGGCGUAAAGCGCGCGUAGGUGGUUCGUUAAGUUGGAUGUGAAAGCCCCGGGCUCAACCUGGGAACUGCAUCCAAAACUGGCGAGCUAGAGUAUGGCAGAGGGUGGUGGAAUUUCCUGUGUAGCGGUGAAAUGCGUAGAUAUAGGAAGGAACACCAGUGGCGAAAGCGACCACCUGGGCUAAUACUGACACUGACGUGCGAAAGCGUGGGGAGCAAACAGGAUUAGAUACCCUGGUAGUC